UACGAAGGGUGCAAGCGUUAAUCGGAAUUACUAGGCGUAAAGCGCGCGUAGGUGGUUCAGUAAGUUGGAAGUGAAAUCCCCGGGCUCAACCUGGGAACUGCUUUCAAAACUGCUGAGCUAGAGUACGGUAGAGGGUGGUGGAAUUUCCUGUGUAGCGGUGAAAUGCGUAGAUAUAGGAAGGAACACCAGUGGCGAAGGCGACCACCUGGACUGAUACUGACACUGAGGUGCGAAAGCGUGGGGAGCAAACAGG
Molecule: ribosomal RNA, 253 nt
Filed under: uncultured bacterium
Lineage: Bacteria
Description: partial 16S ribosomal RNA
Rfam family: Bacterial small subunit ribosomal RNA
Source: RNAcentral